GAAAUAAAUUUAAUUUAGUUUUAAUUUUUCUUUUUUUUAUUAAAAAUUUGAUUAAUUAAGAUAAAAUUAGAAGGGGAUAAGCUCUUUUAAUGUUUUAUAAUAUUUUCUUACUUAAUUAUAGUAGGAUUGAAAUCUUCCAUCUUUUUUAUUACGUUAUAGUAUAUAUUUAUUUAUUUUAAUUUAUCUUUUAUUUAAUAAUAUAUUAAAAAUUUUUAAUGAAUUUUGUAUUUAGAGUUAUAAUGAUUAAAUUAGUAUAUUUAUUUUGUUUGGUAAUUAUUUAUUUGUGUUUUAUUUAUAAGGAACUCGGCAAAUAAAUGUUCGCCUGUUUAUCAAAAACAUGUCCUCUUGUUUGUUUGAGAGGUCUGACCUGCCCAGUGAAUAAUUUUAACGGCCGCGGUAUUUUGACYGURCAAAGGUAGCAUAAUCAUUAGUCUUUUAAUAGAGGGCUGGAAUGAAAGGUUUAACGAAACAUUAACUGUCUCAUUUAUAUAAUUUAGAAUUUAAUUUUUAAGUUAAAAAGCUUAAAUUUUGUUGAAGGACGAGAAGACCCUAUAGAGUUUUAUAAUUAAAAUAAUAAUAAAAAUUUUGAUCUAUAUUUUUGAAUUAUUAUUUUAAUUAUUUUGUUGGGGUGACAAAAAUAAAUAAUUAACUAUUUUAUUUUGUAAACAUAAAUUUAUGAAUAUUUGAUCCAUUAUUAUUGAUUGUUAGAUUAAAUUACCUUAGGGAUAACAGCGUAAUAU
This 740-nucleotide ribosomal RNA is filed under the name Copera vittata. RNAcentral's name for it is "partial 16S ribosomal RNA". The stretch from base 290 to 489 matches the Rfam family "Bacterial large subunit ribosomal RNA", at positions 1700 to 2029 of the family's 2925-position model. The record is from RNAcentral. Lineage: Eukaryota; Metazoa; Arthropoda; Insecta; Odonata; Platycnemididae.